This 790-nucleotide ribosomal RNA is filed under the name Meggittina sp. W50. Its description in RNAcentral is "partial large subunit ribosomal RNA". The stretch from base 93 to 368 matches the Rfam family "Bacterial large subunit ribosomal RNA", at positions 2074 to 2646 of the family's 2925-position model. The record is from RNAcentral. Lineage: Eukaryota; Metazoa; Platyhelminthes; Cestoda; Cyclophyllidea; Catenotaeniidae.
UUGAAGGCUUGUUUGAAUGGUUUGACGGAGAAAUUUUAAAUAUUUCAAUUUAUAUUGAAAUUGAUAUUUAGGGUUCAGAAUCCUAUUAUAUUAAUUAGACGGAAAGACCCCGGGAUCUUUUAUUUUACCUGGGGCAGGUGUUAGUAUUGUACUAAUAUUUUGUUCCUUAUUUGGGUUAAUGGGUUAAGUUACCCCGGGGAUAACAGUGUAAUAGUUAAGUAGAGAUCUUAUCGAGUUAACUGUUUGCCACCUCGAUGUUGACUUAGGUUUAGCUUGGGCGUAAUAGUUUAGGUAUUGGGUCUGUUCGACCUUUAAAUCUCCAUGAGUUGAGUUAAGACCGGCGUGAGCCAGGUCGGUUCUUAUCUAUUGUUGAAACUUAUUAGUACGAAAGGACCAUAAGUUUUUUUAUUGAAUGCGUAGUUUUGUGCCUUAGUUUUGCAAAAGCUAAUGAGAAAAUUUCCGCAUUGUUUAACUAUGGCAAUAGAAAGUUUUAUUACAUUAAUUGCAUAAAUUAUUUUUAUGGUUUUUAGGGUAAAAUUUAUCUUUUUUAAUUAGCAGUUAAUUUUUUAUUGGAGUGUGAGCUUUUUGAGUAUGUAAUAUAAAAAGGGGAUAGGACACAGUGCCAGCAUCUGCGGUUAGUCUGUUUUCUUUGCUUUUAUGUGGAUUUUAAUUAAAUAUUAAUAUGUAAGUUUAGGUGAAAUUUACUUAUGUUGAAAUUAAGUAUUUAGAUAGUAGAAAAUGGUAAUUAAUGACAGGGAUUAGAUACCCCAUUAAUUUAUUAUAAUAUUUU